UACAGAGUUACUACUCCAAAACCCAUUGUGAACCUUACCUAUGUUCUGUUGCCUCGGCGGCGUGGUCAGCGCCCCCUCUGAAAAGAGGACGAUGCCCUCCCGCCGGCAGCACCAAACUCUUGAAUUUUACAGCGGAUUACAGUUCUGAUUUGAAAAGAAAAAACAAGUUAAAACUUUCAACAACGGAUCUCUUGGUUCUGGCAUCGAUGAAGAACGCAGCGAAAUGCGAUAAGUAAUGUGAAUUGCAGAAUUCAGUGAAUCAUCGAAUCUUUGAACGCACAUUGCGCCCGGCAGUAAUCUGCCGGGCAUGCCUGUCCGAGCGUCAUUUCAACCCUCGAACCUCCGUUUCCUCAGGGAAGCUCAGGGUCGGUGUUGGGGCGCUACGGCGAGUCUUCGCGACCCUCCGUAGGCCCUGAAAUACAGUGGCGGUCCCGCCGCGGUUGCCUUCUGCGUAGUAAGUCUCUUUUGCAAGCUCGCAUUGGGUCCCGGCGGAGGCCUGCCGUCAAACCACCUAUAACUCCAGAUGGUUUGACC
Molecule: ribosomal RNA, 534 nt
Filed under: Scedosporium boydii
Lineage: Eukaryota; Fungi; Ascomycota; Sordariomycetes; Microascales; Microascaceae
Description: eukaryotic LSU rRNA
Rfam family: 5.8S ribosomal RNA (bases 172-325)
Source: RNAcentral